RNAcentral lists this ribosomal RNA (353 nucleotides) under uncultured bacterium. RNAcentral's name for it is "bacterial SSU rRNA". It matches the Rfam family "Bacterial small subunit ribosomal RNA", at positions 8 to 351 of the family's 1533-position model. The record is from RNAcentral.
AGAGUUUGAUCAUGGCUCAGGAUGAACGCUAGCUACAGGCUUAACACAUGCAAGUCGAGGGGAGACGACAUCGAAAGCUUGCUCUUGAUGGGCGUCGACCGGCGCACGGGUGAGUAACGCGUAUCCAACCUGCCCAUCACUUGGGGAUAACCUUGCGAAAGUAAGACUAAUACCCAAUGAUAUCUCUAGAAGGCAUCUGAAAGAGAUUAAAGAUUUAUCGGUGAUGGAUGGGGAUGCGUCUGAUUAGCUUGUUGGCGGGGUAACGGCCACCAAAGCAACGAUCAGUAGGGGUUCUGAGAGGAAGGUCCCCCACAUUGGAACUGAGACACGGUCCAAACUCCUACGGGAGGCAA